AUUCCGGCGUGAAAUGAACCCGGGGGUUAAUAACACGUGUACCGAGUCGAUCGUUCUCUGGGAUCUACAUGUUUUCAUGCUAAUCC
Long non-coding RNA from Etheostoma spectabile (orangethroat darter), 86 nucleotides. RefSeq lists it as uncharacterized. Lineage: Eukaryota; Metazoa; Chordata; Actinopteri; Perciformes; Percidae. The record is from RefSeq and is a predicted model, not a curated record. The transcript is spliced from 3 exons.